AUUGAACGCUGGCGGCAGGCCUAACACAUGCAAGUCGAGCGGAUGAAGGGAGCUUGCUCCUGGAUUCAGCGGCGGACGGGUGAGUAAUGCCUAGGAAUCUGCCUGGUAGUGGGGGAUAACGUCCGGAAACGGGCGCUAAUACCGCAUACGUCCUGAGGGAGAAAGUGGGGGAUCUUCGGACCUCACGCUAUCAGAUGAGCCUAGGUCGGAUUAGCUAGUUGGUGGGGUAAAGGCCUACCAAGGCGACGAUCCGUAACUGGUCUGAGAGGAUGAUCAGUCACCCUGGAACUGAGACACGGUCCAGACUCCUACGGGAGGCAGCAGUGGGGAAUAUUGGACGAUGGGCGAAAGCCUGAUCCAGCCAAGCCGCGUGUGUGAAGAAGGUCUUCGGAUUGUAAAGCACUUUAAGUUGGGAGGAAGGGCAGUAAGUUAAGACCUUGCUGUUUUGACGUUACCAACAGAAUAAGCACCGGCUAACUUCGUG
Molecule: ribosomal RNA, 484 nt
Filed under: uncultured bacterium
Lineage: Bacteria
Description: partial 16S ribosomal RNA
Rfam family: Bacterial small subunit ribosomal RNA
Source: RNAcentral